UCCUCCCCGAGCCGGCUCUAGGGGUGCCAGCGCCUCCAAGGCGCGACUGUGCUAGGCUGUUGUGCUCGCUCUACGAACGCUAGGAGUCACUGCCCAGCCUUUACUGUCCAGAAGACGAGGUCUGAAAGUAUGAAAAGUCUCUUGACCUCCACCGGCCCGCUGCGUUUCCCUAGCAGAGGAACCUGGAGCUGUACGGCAGGCUUGAACUCCUGCCCUGAGCUCCUGGCCCUCCUCCACUUCUUUACCUCUCAGAGCCUUAUCCGGACACCUACACUAGCACCACCCCAGAAGCCAGGGCCUCAUGUCCUUGAACCCUGAUGGGCUGCAUGAAUUAGUUCCAAUUUGUAAUCCACUUCCAGAAUCCUUGCUGCCCCUGAAAAAUACACUGCCCACCUGUUCGUGGCUGCUGUUAGAUACUUACAUGAGGGCGGCACAGUCAGAGUACUAACAAGCCUGCAGUGCCCUCCACAAUGGGUAUAAAACUCAAAACUCAAAAUGGAUAUUCUGGAAUGAACUCGUGUUCGAAUCAGGAGGAAUUUGGACAUCCUUUAGUCUGCAACACCUGUUCCAUACUAGAAGAGACCCAAAGACAGAAAGUAACUUACUCAGUUAUCCAACAGGGGAUUGGGCAAUCUGGUCCACUGUGCCACGCACCACUCUAUGAAGCAGGUAGCUGGCCACUGCAGCAAGCAGAGGACUACACGUCAAUGCUACAGUUCCACUGGCCCACAGUGGUUAGGAUUUCACCCAGGAACAGAUGACACAUUGCAGUUAGGAAAUUUAUGUGUGGGGUGCCAAAGUAAACCGCAGAGAUGAAGAAGUAACCUGGGGCUAGUACAACAGGGAGGCCCAUUGUCAACCCAAGGCUUCAAGUCUAGAAGCAGGAUUUCCAGGAUCCAAAAAACAGAGAUACUGGCAAUUGAACCCAGGACAUUGUACAUGCUAGACAAGUGUUCUACCAUUGAGCUACAUCCUCGGCCCUUUUUUAAAUUUUUGAGACACAGUCUCACUGAACUACAAUCCUCCUGUGUCAGCCCCUUGAGUAAUUAGGAUUACAGGAUUGUGCCACCAGAUCCAGCUCCUUUUUUUUUUUUUAAGGACUUUAAUUCUAACUCCUUUUAGUUAGGACUAUAAUAAAAACAAAUUUUAAAAUCCCCCAA
Molecule: long non-coding RNA, 1160 nt
Filed under: Heterocephalus glaber (naked mole-rat)
Lineage: Eukaryota; Metazoa; Chordata; Mammalia; Rodentia; Bathyergidae
Description: lncRNA (ENSHGLG00100038359.1)
Source: RNAcentral